This is a long non-coding RNA of Ailuropoda melanoleuca (giant panda), 1931 nucleotides long. NCBI's taxonomy places the organism in Eukaryota, Metazoa, Chordata, Mammalia, Carnivora, Ursidae. The record is from Ensembl.
GUCUUUGUGGGAGCGGCUGUUGUCCACCAGAAUCGUUCCAAAUAUAUUAAAAGUAGGUUAACUUACUGUGCUUCCUGCAUUUAUUCUUGCAGCUGAAAUUUCCCUGACUUUUUUUUUCUUUUCAUUUUAUUAGGUUAAUAAAACUCGGUUUUCGAGCAUUUCGCUGCCCCAGGAGGGCAGCGGGCCCCCUGUCCAAUUCAUCAACUGCCUAAUGAGCGGCCCCGGAGGUCCCAGCCCGUCCAUUCCAGAAGCUCUCUCUGCCUUGUAAAGGCUCUCUUGCCUUCGCCAGCUUGUCAGGACACUGCCAGCUCCGGGCAUGGGGCCGCGUCAGUCCCGACACGGUGGGAGAGCUGGAAUCGGAGCACACGAGCUCGGGGACACCACAGCCGCCCACCUUGAGCCCAGAGGAGAAGGAGCACGGAAGGGAGGUUACGGUCACCAUGGCUGCAGUACAAGGAAAAGUGGAAAAGCUGUCUUGGACCUUCUUACCACCCACCUGGCCCUGAUGCCAGUUCACAGACCUCAUCCAAACAAGUAGCUGGGAUUUGGGGACUUCUUAUAACACCUGGUAUGUGGGGACUUCUUAUAACACCUGGUAUGUGGGCAGUAGUGAGGCAGUCUGUCCCUUUCUGCAGGCUCUGUGCACUUGUUGGGGGCGGGGAGUCGUCUGAGGGUCUCUGAGGUCAGGGGGAGCAUGCAUAGAGACAGACAUCAGCCAGCACCUCCGCUCUCCUACACAGGGAAGACAGCCAUGCCAUGGCUGUCAGCAGUGACAUCAGAGUGUCCACGUGCCCUGGAAUGUGUGUCCCAGCUGUGUACAUCCUCCUGGUCCCUGUCGGCCAUGGCUUGGUAGCUCAGAGUCCACAAUGGGGGCCACAGCAGCUGUUCUGCUGGGGCUUGGAGGGAGUGGGCCCGGCUCGCACCCACCCCUUGAAGCCCCUCAACCCAGGACUGGCCUUUCUCAGUUUCCCGUUUCAUCUCCAGACUCCUAGAGCUGGGCUCGGGUGCAGGAUUUCCCAACCAGGGGCGGUUACCGGGCACUCGACCGAUCUCCUGAAAUACACUUUGAAGGGUUUUUGUUGUGUUUUGUUUUGUUUUCCCUACUUGCCACCCUUGAAUGAAGCAGACUGUUUGCCUUCCUGCAGAAAGAUUUGCCGUUACCCUGUGCACUUGCGAGAGGACCACGGCCCAGCGCACGGAGCUAGUGAUUUUGCCAACUUCCUGGAUGUUCAUUUCUGGUUCUGCACAAAAGAGCCACAUUUCCUUUUGGAACCGGGACCGGGAGACGGACGGCAGCAGGCACUGGAAAUUGUGAGUACUCCCCGGUCUUCCUCCAGCGACGCUCUGACCCUGUCCGUCUGUCCGUCCUGCCUCCCGUGGCUUUCUCUACCACUUCACCUUCGGUGGGGCUCCUCCGUGAACCCCUCUGUUAGCCUGCAGCACCAGGCCGGCUUUUAGGAAAGGAGCCUCUAGAUGUCUGUACAAACCUGGGACGGGCAGGGGAGGGGGAGUGAGCUCACCAACUGCAUUGACUCCAGUUUUCAUUUUAAGGCUCCGAAAGAUGGCGAAAGUCAACAGAAGCAGACUGGUUUAUUUCAGGGCGAACAGUGAGUCCCUCCUGAAUUUACCUAAUAAAAUGAAUUUUAAAAUUUUCAUUUUCUCAUUCCAUUCCAGCAGAAAAUGAGUUUGCCUUUAUAAUGUCCAGAUCUUUCGAACUCUACUGAGUGAGAAAUUAAGUUACAAAAUGUAAAUACUUUGGUUAUACCCACAUACAUAUACGUGAAAUGAAUAUAUGUAUGAAAUGAAGUAAUUCCUGAGUGUAAUGCAAUAGCAAGCCUGACUUUAGGCUCCUAGGACACUUAAAAAAAUUUUAUGAUGUGUAAUAAAGAAAAAUAAGGUUCAGUAGAAAUGUUUCUCUUUAAAAAUGGGUG